Molecule: ribosomal RNA, 1401 nt
Filed under: Klebsiella pneumoniae
Lineage: Bacteria; Pseudomonadati; Pseudomonadota; Gammaproteobacteria; Enterobacterales; Enterobacteriaceae
Description: bacterial SSU rRNA
Rfam family: Bacterial small subunit ribosomal RNA
Source: RNAcentral
GGUGACGAGCGGCGGACGGGUGAGUAAUGUCUGGGAAACUGCCUGAUGGAGGGGGAUAACUACUGGAAACGGUAGCUAAUACCGCAUAACGUCGCAAGACCAAAGUGGGGGACCUUCGGGCCUCAUGCCAUCAGAUGUGCCCAGAUGGGAUUAGCUAGUAGGUGGGGUAACGGCUCACCUAGGCGACGAUCCCUAGCUGGUCUGAGAGGAUGACCAGCCACACUGGAACUGAGACACGGUCCAGACUCCUACGGGAGGCAGCAGUGGGGAAUAUUGCACAAUGGGCGCAAGCCUGAUGCAGCCAUGCCGCGUGUGUGAAGAAGGCCUUCGGGUUGUAAAGCACUUUCAGCGGGGAGGAAGGCGAUAAGGUUAAUAACCUUGUCGAUUGACGUUACCCGCAGAAGAAGCACCGGCUAACUCCGUGCCAGCAGCCGCGGUAAUACGGAGGGUGCAAGCGUUAAUCGGAAUUACUGGGCGUAAAGCGCACGCAGGCGGUCUGUCAAGUCGGAUGUGAAAUCCCCGGGCUCAACCUGGGAACUGCAUUCGAAACUGGCAGGCUAGAGUCUUGUAGAGGGGGGUAGAAUUCCAGGUGUAGCGGUGAAAUGCGUAGAGAUCUGGAGGAAUACCGGUGGCGAAGGCGGCCCCCUGGACAAAGACUGACGCUCAGGUGCGAAAGCGUGGGGAGCAAACAGGAUUAGAUACCCUGGUAGUCCACGCCGUAAACGAUGUCGAUUUGGAGGUUGUGCCCUUGAGGCGUGGCUUCCGGAGCUAACGCGUUAAAUCGACCGCCUGGGGAGUACGGCCGCAAGGUUAAAACUCAAAUGAAUUGACGGGGGCCCGCACAAGCGGUGGAGCAUGUGGUUUAAUUCGAUGCAACGCGAAGAACCUUACCUGGUCUUGACAUCCACAGAACUUUCCAGAGAUGGAUUGGUGCCUUCGGGAACUGUGAGACAGGUGCUGCAUGGCUGUCGUCAGCUCGUGUUGUGAAAUGUUGGGUUAAGUCCCGCAACGAGCGCAACCCUUAUCCUUUGUUGCCAGCGGUCCGGCCGGGAACUCAAAGGAGACUGCCAGUGAUAAACUGGAGGAAGGUGGGGAUGACGUCAAGUCAUCAUGGCCCUUACGACCAGGGCUACACACGUGCUACAAUGGCAUAUACAAAGAGAAGCGACCUCGCGAGAGCAAGCGGACCUCAUAAAGUAUGUCGUAGUCCGGAUUGGAGUCUGCAACUCGACUCCAUGAAGUCGGAAUCGCUAGUAAUCGUAGAUCAGAAUGCUACGGUGAAUACGUUCCCGGGCCUUGUACACACCGCCCGUCACACCAUGGGAGUGGGUUGCAAAAGAAGUAGGUAGCUUAACCUUCGGGAGGGCGCUUACCACUUUGUGAUUCAUGACUGGGGUGAAG